Molecule: ribosomal RNA, 470 nt
Filed under: uncultured Dehalococcoidia bacterium
Lineage: Bacteria; Bacillati; Chloroflexota; Dehalococcoidia
Description: bacterial SSU rRNA
Rfam family: Bacterial small subunit ribosomal RNA
Source: RNAcentral
GAGUUUGUGGCUCAGGAUAAACGCUGGCGGCGUGCUUCAGGCAUGCAAGUCAAACGGACUACAGGACUUCGGUUCUGUAGUUAGUGGCGGACGGGUGAGUAACACGUGAGCAACCUGCCCGGAAGUGGGGAAUAACCCACCGAAAGGUGAGCUAAUUCCGCAUGUGAUGGCCUUUCCCUGGAGGGGUCAUUAAAGGCGAAAGUCGCUUCCGGAGGGGCUUGCGGCCGAUUAGCUUGUUGGUGGGGUAACGGCCUACCAAGGCGACGAUCGGUAGCUGGUCUGAGAGGACGGACAGCCACACGGGGACUGAGAUACGGCCCCGACUCCUACGGGAGGCAGCAGCUAGGAAUCUUGGGAAUGGGCGAAAGCCUGACCCAGCAACGCCGCGUGGGCGAUGAAGGCCUUGGGUCGUAAGCCUUUGCAAGGACGAUGAUGACGGUACCUUGCGAAUAAGCCACGGCUAACUACGU